RNAcentral lists this ribosomal RNA (404 nucleotides) under uncultured Hyphomicrobiaceae bacterium. RNAcentral describes it as "bacterial SSU rRNA". It matches the Rfam family "Bacterial small subunit ribosomal RNA", at positions 355 to 776 of the family's 1533-position model. The record is from RNAcentral. Lineage: Bacteria; Pseudomonadati; Pseudomonadota; Alphaproteobacteria; Hyphomicrobiales; Hyphomicrobiaceae.
UGGGGAAUAUUGGACAAUGGGCGCAAGCCUGAUCCAGCUAUGCCGCGUGGAUGAAGAAGGCCUUCGGGUUGUAAAGUCCUUUCGUUGGUGACGAUAAUGACGGUAACCAAAGAAGAAGCCCCGGCUAAUUUCGUGCCAGCAGCCGCGGUAAUACGAAAGGGGCUAGCGUUGUUCGGAAUUACUGGGCGUAAAGCGCACGUAGGCGGCCUUGUAAGAUGGGGGUGAAAUCCCCGGGCUCAACCCGGGAACUGCCUUCAUGACUGCAAAGCUUGAGGAUGUGAGAGGUUGGCGGAAUUCCGAGUGUAGAGGUGAAAUUCGUAGAUAUUCGGAAGAACACCAGUGGCGAAGGCGGCCAACUGGCACAUUUCUGACGCUGAGGUGCGAAAGCGUGGGGAGCAAACAGG